Long non-coding RNA from Herpailurus yagouaroundi (jaguarundi), 639 nucleotides. RefSeq lists it as uncharacterized. The record is from RefSeq and is a predicted model, not a curated record. Lineage: Eukaryota; Metazoa; Chordata; Mammalia; Carnivora; Felidae. The transcript is spliced from 2 exons.
AAUUAUUAUUUCAAUUGUUAAAUGGAUUUACUUCUGUUAUUUCUGAACUUUUGAGAUCUCAUGGAUCCAAAGAAGAUCCCCCAAAGACUCUGAGGCUGGUGACGAAACAGAUGCCGGUAACCACAGAGCUCACUGAGCUCCCUGCUUUCUCCCCAACCCUGGAGACUGAGGAAACUGGAUUGGAUCCUGAAUUCUAGUUUCUUCCAAUAUGUGGCUACAACUCUCCAAGCUAACAUUUCCAAUUUUCUCCCACUCUUAUGACUUGGAAUCAUCAUGAAACUAAAACUGCCCAUUUCCCAAAGCUGUGGGAGCUAAAGCUGAAAAGCUUGAUAGAAACUUUGGAGAAAUCACCACAACAGCUCCUCUGUGGACAAUCUUCAGGCCUGUGGCUCUAUGGCCACUCAGAAAGAUCACUAGAGACAUUCAAGUUGCAAACCAGGAAAAGACGUCAGAUUCCCACUGUUUGCUCUCACUCCAUCUGAAGACGCUUGGAACCCAACAUCUAGCAAUCUUUUCAACUGACUGUUCUCCAAACUCCAAAACUAAAUUUGCUAUAAUUUGCUAAAACUAUUAACCUUUGUAUUUCUUUGGUUUUCAUAGAAAUGCAUCUCAUUAAAUUACCUGAUGGUUCACACCAUA